GAUGAAGAACGUAGCGAAAUGCGAUAAGUAAUGUGAAUUGCAGAAUUCAGUGAAUCAUCGAAUCUUUGAACGCACCUUGCGCCCUUUGGCCAUUCCGAAGGGCAUGCCUGUUUGAGUAUCAUGAACACCUCAACUCUUUAUGGUUUUCCAUGAUGAGCUUGGACUCUGGGGGUUUUGCUGGCUCACAGUCGGCUCCUCUAAAAUGAAUCAGCUUACCAGUGUUUGGUGGGUAUCAUGGGUGUGAUAACUAUCUACGCUUGUGGUUUUUCCACCAGGUAACCUUCAGCAGUGGAGGUUCGCUGGAGCUCAUAGAUGUCUCUCCUCAGUGAGGACAGCCCUUCGAAUGUUUGAUCUCAAAUCAGGUAGGACUACCCGCUGAACUUAAGCAUAUCAAUAAGCGGAGGA
This 405-nucleotide unclassified non-coding RNA is filed under the name soil metagenome. RNAcentral describes it as "partial contains 5.8S ribosomal RNA, internal transcribed spacer 2, and large subunit ribosomal RNA". The stretch from base 1 to 121 matches the Rfam family "5.8S ribosomal RNA", at positions 35 to 154 of the family's 154-position model. The record is from RNAcentral.